This 253-nucleotide ribosomal RNA is filed under the name uncultured bacterium. RNAcentral describes it as "partial 16S ribosomal RNA". It matches the Rfam family "Bacterial small subunit ribosomal RNA", at positions 524 to 776 of the family's 1533-position model. The record is from RNAcentral.
UACGUAGGGUGCAAGCGUUGUCCGGAAUUAUUGGGCGUAAAGAGCUCGUAGGCGGUCUGUCGCGUCGGCUGUGAAAACCCGGAGCUCAACUCCGGGCCUGCAGUCGAUACGGGCAAACUGGAGUGUUGCAGGGGAGACUGGAAUUCCUGGUGUAGCGGUGAAAUGCGCAGAUAUCAGGAGGAACACCGGUGGCGAAGGCGGGUCUCUGGGCAACUACUGACGCUGAGGAGCGAAAGCGUGGGGAGCGAACAGG